Molecule: ribosomal RNA, 253 nt
Filed under: uncultured bacterium
Lineage: Bacteria
Description: partial 16S ribosomal RNA
Rfam family: Bacterial small subunit ribosomal RNA
Source: RNAcentral
UACAGAGGGUGCAAGCGUUAAUCGGAAUUACUGGGCGUAAAGGGUGCGUAGGUGGUUUAAUAAGUUGGGUGUGAAAGUCCCGAGCUUAGCUUGGGGAUUGCGCUUAAUACUGUUGAGCUAGAGUACUGUAGAGGAAGGUGGAAUUUCCAGUGUAGCGGUGAAAUGCGUAGAUAUUGGAAGGAACAUCAGUGGCGAAGGCGACUUUCUGGACAGAUACUGACACUGAGGCACGAAAGCAUGGGGAGCAAACAGG